Molecule: transfer RNA, 67 nt
Filed under: Xenostrobus securis
Lineage: Eukaryota; Metazoa; Mollusca; Bivalvia; Mytilida; Modiolidae
Description: tRNA-Lys
Source: RNAcentral
UUAAUUAAAGCUUUUAUUUAUGAAGCGGCGGGCUUUUAAUCCGAUUAAGCCUGUUUUGGCUGAUUAA